Molecule: ribosomal RNA, 250 nt
Filed under: uncultured bacterium
Lineage: Bacteria
Description: partial 16S ribosomal RNA
Rfam family: Bacterial small subunit ribosomal RNA
Source: RNAcentral
UACGAGGGGAGCUAGCGUUGUUCGGAAUUACUGGGCGUAAAGGGCGCGUAGGCGGUCCUAUAAGUCAGAUGUGAAAGCCCCGGGCUUAACCUGGGAGGUGCAUUUGAAACUGUAGAACUUGAGAUCGAGAGAGGAAAGUGGAAUUACGAGUGUAGAGGUGAAAUUCGUAGAUAUUCGUAAGAACACCAGUGGCGAAGGCGACUUUCUGGCUCGAUACUGACGCUAAGGCGCGAAAGCGUGGGGAGCAAAC